CCUACGGGCGGCUGCAGUGAGGAAUAUUGGUCAAUGGACGAGAGUCUGAACCAGCCAAGUAGCGUGAAGGAUGACUGCCCUAUGGGUUGUAAACUUCUUUUAUAAAGGAAUAAAACGAGGCACGUGUGCCUUUUUGCAUGUACUUUAUGAAUAAGGAUCGGCUAACUCCGUGCCAGCAGCCGCGGUAAUACGGAGGAUCCGAGCGUUAUCCGGAUUUAUUGGGUUUAAAGGGAGCGUAGAUGGGUUGUUAAGUCAGUUGUGAAAGUUUGCGGCUCAACCGUAAAAUUGCAAUUGAUACUGGCAGUCGUGAGUACAGUUGAGGUAGGCGGAAUUCGUGGUGUAGCGGUGAAAUGCUUAGAGAUCACGAAGAACCCCGAUUGCGAAGGCAGCUUACUAAACUGUGACUGACAUUGAUGCUCGAAAGUGUGGGUAUCAAACAGGAUUAGAUACCCGAGUAGUC
Molecule: ribosomal RNA, 460 nt
Filed under: uncultured bacterium
Lineage: Bacteria
Description: partial 16S ribosomal RNA
Rfam family: Bacterial small subunit ribosomal RNA
Source: RNAcentral